UCUACACAUGAUCGAAGGAGAGAACUCUCUCUCUCUAGACUAGGGUUCAAGAUCUAAGGAAGAAGAAGAAUGAGGAUUUCUUCAAUACAUAUGGAUCACUAACACACUUGUAUGAGGGCUUGUUUAGGACGUAUUGGGAGAAGAUUUUCAUGUCUUUGGUUGCUAUACAUGAUCUUGGAAAGACCUUUUCACACUUUUAAAGUUUCUUUGAUUGUUCUUGAAACUUUGGGUUAUGUCAAUGGUGGUUUUGUUUAGAAAGCAUGAUAGGUUAGAAUAAUUGGUUUUAUAUGCAUGUUAGUGACUAUGAUAUUAUUUAACAAUGGUUGGAAACAUGUUAGGAAUGAAUUAAUGAUGAUAUAAGGUUUGAUUUUGUGAUAUAUGUUCAUAGAUUGAGAAAGAAGAAGAUUUUAUUGCAUAAGAUUUGUUAAGGUUAUGGAGUUAGGGGCUGCUUACAAAUUUUUGGUAUUUUAUUUAUCUCUAAGAUUUGUAUGAUUUUAUAGAGGGAUUCAAGACAGGAAAAACCAAAAAAGAAUUGUCUAAAUCAGAUUAAAAUUGAGGAAGUUAUGGCAAAACAAAAUUGGUCGCUACAGUCACAACAAUAGCUGGGACAUGCCGCCUCCACAUGGUAGGCGUCAUGUCACCUCACCUCUAUUUUGGAGGACUCGACAAGGCACUUGAAGCGAGGUGAUUGCGUCGCUGCUAGACUUGAGGUCUUGAUCAUAAGGAACGUGGCACGUUCGUCGGGGUAGUUAUUAAGGAUCAUAUGGUAGUCUUUGUGCAACGAAACAUACUCAAUCAAGCCCUGUUUUGGAGGCGGAACUUCAAGCGAUGUCCAUAGGUUUGUGAUUGGCUUCUUUGUGUGGUUUUUCACAUAUUCAGCUUUAUUCAGACUUGUUACUAGCAGUGCAAGCAGUCACUGAUCCAGAGGAUCAGUAUAGUCCUAUGGGCUAUGAAGUUUUAGAUGUUGAGGAGUAUCUCCAAAAGCCCUCUAAUUUUACUUUGAAUCAUAUGUAUAGGACAACUGCCCAUCAUUUGGUGUCUUUAAUUUUUCUUCCCUGAAUGCUUUUGUUUGGCAUGAUGGCUUUUUUUUCCUUUGUGGUUAAAAA
Long non-coding RNA from Humulus lupulus (European hop), 1106 nucleotides. RefSeq lists it as uncharacterized. NCBI's taxonomy places the organism in Eukaryota, Viridiplantae, Streptophyta, Magnoliopsida, Rosales, Cannabaceae. The record is from RefSeq and is a predicted model, not a curated record. The transcript has 3 exons.